Molecule: non-coding RNA, 98 nt
Organism: Armillaria nabsnona
Lineage: Eukaryota; Fungi; Basidiomycota; Agaricomycetes; Agaricales; Physalacriaceae
Source: the annotation of a GenBank genome assembly
GCCAGUAUGGUACAGCGGUUGGUAUGUCUGCUUAGAAAAGUUAUCUGAUAUUAUCAAAAAUCUUUUUAAGAUCCUGGGUUCAAUUCCCAGAUCUGUCG